Molecule: long non-coding RNA, 1163 nt
Organism: Marmota monax (woodchuck)
Lineage: Eukaryota; Metazoa; Chordata; Mammalia; Rodentia; Sciuridae
Exons: 3
Source: RefSeq, a predicted model, not a curated record
AAUGGCAGCCUUCAUGGAGCAGAUCAUCACUUACUCGGGUUCAUGGAAGCCAAAAGUAUUUGGCGGACACAACAUCUUUGUUUGUAUGUGGUGCUGAGAAUCGAACCCGGGCCGCACGCAUGCCAGGAGAGCUAUAGAUAUUAUAGUUUGGAUGUGAGGUGUCUCCCAGAAGAUCAUGUGUAAAACAAUGCAAGAACAUUCAGAGCAGAAAUGAUUGGGUUAUGAGAUCCUUAACCCAAUCAAUCAAUCCCCUGAUUGGUAACUGAAGGCAGGUAGGGUGAGGCUGAAGGAUGUGGGUCUCUGGGUGUGCCUUUGGGGUGUAUAUUUUGUAUCUGGCAGUGGAGUUUCUCUGUUUCCUGAUCAUCACUGCUUCCCUCUGUCACACCUUCUGCCAUGAUGUUCUGCCUCACCUCAAACCCUGAGGAAUGGAGCAGGCUAUCUAUGGACCGAAACCUCUGAAACCAUGAACCCUCAAAUGAACUUUGCCCCAUUAAAAUUGUUCUUGUCAGAAAAAAAAGUGUGUCACAUUAAAUUGGAUAGAGAGAAAGGAUGGGAGAGGAGGGGAGGGGUAGGAGGAUAGGAAGGGCAGCAGACUAGAAUAGACAAUAUGAUUGAUGUAUGUACAUUCCAUGUAUGUAUUAUAUGUCAAAAUACAUUCUGCUGUCAUGUAUGACUAAAAAAAAUAAAUCAUAUGGUAAAAAAAAAGAAAAAGAAAAAAAUUGUUCUUGUCAGAUCUUUUAGUCAUAGCAGUGAAAAAGUUGACUAAAAUACAUAGAUGUUGUGUCCUCCUCUAAGUCCUGUUGGCAAGAAGACAUUUCCUGGAAGUGGUAACAAGGUAACAGGUAUGAUAUACACAAGCACACACACUGUACCAUUGUCAUGUUUGACAGGCUUUUUAAAAAGUAUAUCAAAUAAUAGACUAUAAGAAUCCAGUCAACAUGACUAGAUUCCUUGCUAAGAAAAAUCUACACCAAAAAAAAGGUUAUGAACAAUCAUGACAUUGAAUUUUUAUUCUCAUUUGCUGCCUAAGAAUUUAUAUAAAUGAGAAGACUUAUUCUUGGCUCUAGAGAUCUAUUUGUAUAGAAUGGUGACUAUAGUAAAUGAUAAUGUAUUGUCCACUCAAAACUUGCUAAGAAAGGGCUGGGGUUAUAGCUCAGUGGUGG